This 1343-nucleotide ribosomal RNA is filed under the name uncultured bacterium. Its description in RNAcentral is "16S ribosomal RNA". It matches the Rfam family "Bacterial small subunit ribosomal RNA", at positions 28 to 1378 of the family's 1533-position model. The record is from RNAcentral.
GACGAACGCUGGCGGCGUGCUUAACACAUGCAAGUCGAACGGAAAGGCCCUGCUUUUGUGGGGUGCUCGAGUGGCGAACGGGUGAGUAACACGUGAGUAACCUGCCCUUGACUUUGGGAUAACUUCAGGAAACUGGGGCUAAUACCGGAUAGGAGCUCCUGCUGCAUGGUGGGGGUUGGAAAGUUUCGGCGGUUGGGGAUGGACUCGCGGCUUAUCAGCUUGUUGGUGGGGUAGUGGCUUACCAAGGCUUUGACGGGUAGCCGGCCUGAGAGGGUGACCGGCCACAUUGGGACUGAGAUACGGCCCAGACUCCUACGGGAGGCAGCAGUGGGGAAUAUUGCACAAUGGGCGGAAGCCUGAUGCAGCAACGCCGCGUGCGGGAUGACGGCCUUCGGGUUGUAAACCGCUUUCGCCUGUGACGAAGCGUGAGUGACGGUAAUGGGUAAAGAGGCACCGGCUAACUACGUGCCAGCGGCCGCGGUGAUACGUAGGGUGCGAGCGUUGUCCGGAUUUAUUGGGCGUAAAGGGCUCGUAGGUGGUUGAUCGCGUCGGAAGUGUAAUCUUGGGGCUUAACCCUGAGCGUGCUUUCGAUACGGGUUGACUUGAGGAAGGUAGGGGAGAAUGGAAUUCCUGGUGGAGCGGUGGAAUGCGCAGAUAUCAGGAGGAACACCAGUGGCGAAGGCGGUUCUCUGGGCCUUUCCUGACGCUGAGGAGCGAAAGCGUGGGGAGCGAACAGGCUUAGAUACCCUGGUAGUCCACGCUGUAAACGGUGGGUACUAGGUGUGGGGUCCAUUCCACGGGUUCCGUGCCGUAGCUAACGCUUUAAGUACCCCGCCUGGGGAGUACGGCCGCAAGGCUAAAACUCAAAGGAAUUGACAGGGCCCCGCACAAGCGGCGGAGCAUGCGGAUUAAUUCGAUGCAACGCGUAGAACCUUACCUGGGUUUGACAUGGAUCGGGAGUGCUCAGAGAUGGGUGUGCCUCUUUUGGGGUCGGUUCACAGGUGGUGCAUGGCUGUCGUCAGCUCGUGUCGUGAGAUGUUGGGUUAAGUCCCGCAACGAGCGCAACCCUUGUUCACUGUUGCCAGCACGUUAUGGUGGGGACUCAGUGGAGACCGCCGGGGUCAACUCGGAGGAAGGUGGGGAUGACGUCAAGUCAUCAUGCCCCUUAUGUCCAGGGCUUCACGCAUGCUACAAUGGCUGGUACAGAGAGUGGCGAGCCUGUGAGGGUGAGCGAAUCUCGGAAAGCCGGUCUCAGUUCGGAUUGGGGUCUGCAACUCGACCUCAUGAAGUCGGAGUCGCUAGUAAUCGCAGAUCAGCAACGCUGCGGUGAAUACGUUCCCGGG